AUCCCUUAAAAGGGUACGUAGGCAAUGAGUUAAAACUCCUCCAAGCCAAGUAAAAUAAAAUCUCAAUCAUCUUCUCUCCCCCAUUCUUCACUCAAAUAAAACUCCUUUUUUAAUAAGUAGGCAAUAAAAAUAAAGUGUAAGAAUAAACUUAGGAGAACGGUUCUUAUGGAAUACCAUAAUCGUUCCGGGUGCCUAACACCUUCCCGUAGCGAAAACGACCCCCGAACUUAGACUCUAAGGGUUUUUCUCAAUUUUGCC
This 258-nucleotide long non-coding RNA is filed under the name Medicago truncatula (barrel medic). RNAcentral describes it as "long non-coding RNA (MTRU_LNC006240)". The record is from RNAcentral. Lineage: Eukaryota; Viridiplantae; Streptophyta; Magnoliopsida; Fabales; Fabaceae.